GACGAACGCUGGCGGCGUGCCUAAUACAUGCAAGUUGAGCGCUGAAGGUUGGUACUUGUAUCAACUGGGUGAGCAGCGUAAGGGUGAGUAACGCGUGGGUAACCUGCCUUUGAGCGGGGGACAACAUCUGGAAACGAAUGCUAAUACCGCAUAAAAACUUUAAACACAAGUUUUAAGUUUGAAAGAUGCCAUUGCCUUACUAUAAGAUGAUCCCGCCUUGUAUUUGCUCAGUGGUGAGGAAAAUGCCCACCAAGGCGAGGAUAGAUAGCCGGCCAGAGAGGGUGAACGGCCAAACUGGGACUGGGACAAGGCCCAAACUACCACGGGAGGCAGCAGGAGGGGAACUUCGGCAAGGGGCGGAAGGCAGACCGAGCAAAGCCGCGGGAGUGAAGAAGGGUUUCGGAUCGGAAAACUCAGUUGGUAGAGAAGAAAGUUGGUGAGAGUGGAAAGCUCAUCAAGUGACGUUAACUACCCAGAAAGGGACGGCUAACUACGUG
RNAcentral lists this ribosomal RNA (497 nucleotides) under uncultured bacterium. Its description in RNAcentral is "partial 16S ribosomal RNA". It matches the Rfam family "Bacterial small subunit ribosomal RNA", at positions 28 to 507 of the family's 1533-position model. The record is from RNAcentral.